Molecule: ribosomal RNA, 491 nt
Filed under: uncultured bacterium
Lineage: Bacteria
Description: bacterial SSU rRNA
Rfam family: Bacterial small subunit ribosomal RNA
Source: RNAcentral
GAUGAACGCUAGCGGCAGGCUUAAUACAUGCAAGUCGAACGGCAAGGACUUUCGGGUCCCUAGAGUGGCGCACGGGUGAGUAACACGUACACAACAUACCCUGUAUUGGAGGAUAGCCUUGGGAAACUGGGGGUAAUAUUCCAUAGUAUUUAUUGGAGGCAUCUCUGAUAAAUUAAAGAGCAAUCGAUAUAGGAUUGGUGUGCGUCCCAUUAGCUAGUUGGUAGGGUAACGGCCUACCAAGGCUACGAUGGGUAGCUGGCGUGAGAGCGCGACCAGCCACACUGGAACUGAGACACGGUCCAGACUCCUACGGGAGGCAGCAGUAGGGAAUAUUGGACAAUGGAGGCAACUCUGAUCCAGCCAUGCCGCGUGGAGGAUGACUGCCCUCUGGGUUGUAAACUCCUUUGUACAGGAGAAACCUCUCAUUUAUGAGUGAGCUGACGGUACUGUAAGAAUAAGCAACCGGCUAACUCCGUGCCAGCAGCCGCGGU